Motacilla alba alba is the source of this 2467-nucleotide long non-coding RNA. RefSeq lists it as uncharacterized. The record is from RefSeq and is a predicted model, not a curated record. Lineage: Eukaryota; Metazoa; Chordata; Aves; Passeriformes; Motacillidae. The transcript is spliced from 3 exons.
AAGAGAAAGGGGUAGGCAUUUGUCAUCAACAUUUUAAGACAGUAUUGCGUAAGCAAAUUUUCAAAGAAUGAGAUUUACCACAAAGUACUUUUCAGCCUUGCUAAGUAAGGAGAUUGUGUUACUACUGUUUGUUUUAACAACUAAGUUUGAAGCACGUUUUUUUCUAGUGAUCAUACUGGGAUUACUGGGAAAAAAAUGCAUUUCUUUUGUUAAGAGAAUAAUUCUACAAGAAAUCGGAACUCUUUCCAUGAAGCUGUUUUUGUCCUGAUACUUUUUGUUGUUAGUGCUCUUUAGCAUGUCAUUGAUAGUAUUCUAGGGUGAUGAUAUAACUCUACUAAGCAAAAACAAGAAAAGAUUCUCCCAAAUGUAUGCUUCUGAUCUUAUAGGAGCUUUUUUUUUAUUAAAAGAAAACUCUGAAAUAAAUAAAAUAAUCUUUAAGAUACUAUAUUAAGAUACCUUCCUCACAUCAACAGAAAUACAAUAUGUUCUCUAUCCCUACAACUGUAAUGCUAAACCUUUCUACUUGUUCUGUUGUCCCUGCCAAGGAAUGAAUCUAUCGCGGAGCAUCUCCACUGGAAAGUCCCUGUAAACUGAUUAAUUUUUUUCAGGAAGCAGCUCAGGAACAUGAUGCAAGAAAGAAGCACAAGUUGUUCUGAGAGAAGUAGGACCCCUUGUUUGUGUUCCUACCAAAGUGUGCAUGUAGCAAAAAAGUCUGAUCAACAUCCAGAGAAAGAAGAGAGAACAGAGGUUUUGGAAGAAAACUAAGGACUUAAUUCUGAGAACUUGGACAGUGGGGAUCAAAACCACUCAGAAGUUUAAUGAUCAACAGAAGCUAGCUCUGAGAAAACACUUGAAGAGGAUGUUAAGCAAGCCAAUGGAAAUUUGUCUUUCAUAUAUGGCAUAAACUGCAGGACUUAGACUUUCAGACUGGGAAGGAGAAUUACAGCCACAAAGCAAAAACAGUAGUAAGUAAAUAAGCAAUAAAAAUUAGUAUAUGUUAGCUUUUAAAGUGUGUUUUUCCUUAUGACCUUGGAAACAGUUGUUAAACACAAGUCAUGUAAAACCAAACAAAGCAAAGAAACGGUUUGUCUUAACAAACAGAACAGCCAAGCUUUUAAAUCUUAAAACCAAAAUAAUUUUGUGUUCAUUUGAAACCAGUUAUAAAAGGAAUCAAACCACUUGCUAGCCCUACCCUUUCUUAAGCACUGCCUUGGGCAUUGGUGUCUCUGUGAACAUGUUUAAUAUUUUACUUGUGUUGAUGACCUCUUGCACUGCAAGCAGUUUCCGUCAGGUUAAUUUGGACCCAAUACAAUGUCCAUUUCAGCCUAUAGAGAUAAACUUACUGGCAUCAGUAGGCAAUGUGUCAGGCAGUAUGAAAAAUGCUAACUUAAAGGUACAUGGAGUCUUUUAAUAAGACCCCCUCGCCCUUUGGACAUCUGUGCAUGCAUUAAGUCAGAUCCUCAAGAUCCAUAUGCAUUAUGUCAGUAGGGUGAACUGGACUUUUUAUCACAAAAGCAAAGGUUUUCAGGAGAACUUAAACUACUCAGAACAUACAUACCUGUGCACAAUCAGUUAACUAUAGCUGGUGCUAUCUUAACGGGCUUUUCAUUGUUAAAACAUAGGAAUAUCCUGGAAUAAAAUGGCUAGAAUUUGGUAAUCUGCACAGACACCAAAAAACCCCUCUGACAAUCUGAGUGUCGGGUAGCAUAUGUAUUAUUUUUCACAGGCAGUCUGACAGUAGAACAAAAGAACAACUUCUCCAAACAAAAAAGAGCAAAUGCAAGUACUACCCCACCAAAUUUGAGGAGGGUUAUUGGGUGACUUCAUUCUCCAUGUACAGUUUUGCCCUCAGCUGUGCUUUUUUGCUGGGACCCCAGUCACUGAAACUUUGAGUAUUUCUACAGGAAAUGGUGCAGAAUUCUGCCUCACAAAAGGAUAGCAUUAACAGCACCAACUGGUGUACAAUCCAUAGGAUUCUAUUUUUAUACCAAUAAAUUGAAAUGCAGUUAUAGAAUAGAUAAGUAGUGAGCAAAGAAAGUGCUUGCUUCAGCUUGGUGAAAUAUGAGUGUUAAUUUUAUGACUUCUCAAGUACAGGUAGGUCACAGCUGGAAGGACUUGGAACACAGAGUGGUUGUGUGAAAAUCUUUGUUAAUAAACUAGGUACAAUCUAGCCUUAGAUGUUCCUACAUUUGUGUCCCUCUGGAGUUGAAUGGAGGAAUUUACAUCAGGCUCAAGAUUUUAAAUGCAAGACUGAUAGGUUAGGAAAAUUACUGAUUUUUUUCUAUUGAAUUGUGUUUACAAAAGCAAAUUAAAUUUGUGAUUGUUUGAUAUUCCUUCUAUUGCUACGAUGAAAACCAGUUCAAAAUAUUUCUAAACAGGAAAGGGCCAUAAAAAGAAGAAAAAUUAAGACUGAUCAGUAUGAUUCAUUUACUUAAGAAGAAAACACAGCAGAAAUUGUUUAUGCAGA